This 378-nucleotide ribosomal RNA is filed under the name uncultured bacterium. Its description in RNAcentral is "bacterial SSU rRNA". It matches the Rfam family "Bacterial small subunit ribosomal RNA", at positions 362 to 758 of the family's 1533-position model. The record is from RNAcentral.
UCUUAGACAAUGGGCGCAAGCCUGAUCUAGCCAUGCCGCGCGAGCGAUGAAGGCCUUAGGGUUGUAAAGCUCUUUCAGGGGGGAAGAUAAUGACUGUACCCCCAGAAGAAGCUCCGGCUAACUCCGUGCCAGCAGCCGCGGUAAUACGGAGGGGGCUAGCGUUGUUCGGAAUUACUGGGCGUAAAGCGCACGUAGGCGGACGGAGAAGUCAGAGGUGAAAUCCCAGGGCUCAACCUUGGAACUGCCUUUGAAACUUUCUGUCUUGAGUCCGGGAGAGGUGAGUGGAACUGCGAGUGUAGAGGUGAAAUUCGUAGAUAUUCGCAAGAACACCUGUGGCGAAGGCGGCUCACGGCCCGGUACUGACGCUGAGGUGCGAAA